Molecule: ribosomal RNA, 3027 nt
Filed under: Chloroflexota bacterium
Lineage: Bacteria; Bacillati; Chloroflexota
Description: bacterial LSU rRNA
Rfam family: Bacterial large subunit ribosomal RNA
Source: RNAcentral
GAGAGUCAAGCUAUUAAGGGCUCACGGUGGAUGCCUUGGCGCCAAGGGCCGAAGAAGGGCGUAGCAAGACUGCGAAAAGCCUCGGUUAGCUGUCUAGCAAGCUUAGCCGGGGAUUCCCGAAUGGGGAAACCCCCUUCGGUGGACCCGAAGGAUCCCGACUUUGUCGGGAGGGGAACUCGGGGAACUGAAACAUCUCAGUACCCGGAGGAAAAGAAAGCAACCGCGAUUCCCUAAGUAGUGGCGAGCGAAAGGGGAGGAGCCUAAACCGACCAGGCUUAACGGGCUGGGGCCCUAUGCCUGCUCGGGGUUGUAAGGCACAACAGUUACGACCCCAGUUGUGACAGGGAGUAAGAAACCGCUUCUCUAGCUGAAGGCAUCUGGAAGGAACCGCCAUAGAGGGUGAUAGCCCCGUAGGCGAAAGAGAAGAGGCUCCCGAUGUGACCUUAAGUACCACGGGGCACGGGAAACCCCGUGGGAAGCUGGGGGGACCACCCUCCAAGGCUAAAUACCCUUGGCGACCGAUAGUGAACAAGUACCGUGAGGGAAAGGUGAAAAGCCCCCCGGGAGGGGAGUGAAAUAGAUCUGAAACCGUGAGCCUACAUUCGGUCGGAGCCUCGACUUCGGUCGGGGUGACGGCGUGCCUAUUGAAGCAUGAGCUGGCGAGUUAUUACGUGUGGCAAGGUUAAGGGACUAAAGUUCCGGAGCCGUAGCGAAAGCGAGUCCGAAUAGGGCUAUUUAGUCGCACGUAACAGACCCGAAACCGGGUGAGCUACCCAUGGCCAGGGUGAAGCCUCGGUAACACGAGGUGAAGGCCCGAACCCGGGAGCGGUGCAAAGCUCUGGGAUGAGCUGUGGGUAGAGGUGAAAUGCCAAUCGAACUCGGAGAUAGCUGGUUCUCCCCGAAAUGCAUUUAGGUGCAGCCUCGGGAAUUGCGACGGAGAGGUAGGGCACUGGAUGGGUUAGGGGGCGCGAGCCUACCAAUCCCAACCAAACCACGAAUGCUCCGUCAGUGUAACCCGGGAGUGAGACAGUGGGGGAUAAGCUUCAUUGUCAAAAGGGAAACAGCCCAGAUCGUCAGCUAAGGUCCCCAAGUGCAGGCUUAGUGGGAAAGGAAGUCGGAUCGCAUAGACAGCCAGGAGGUUGGCUUAGAAGCAGCCACCCUUUAAAGAGUGCGUAAUAGCUCACUGGUCGAGCGAUUCGGCACCGAAAAUUUAACGGGGCUCAAGCCUGCCACCGAAGCUACGGGAUUCGAUGCUAUUGCAUUGGAUCGGUAGGGGAGCGUUCCCAUCAUACCGAACUUGUUUCGACAAGAUCGGUGCGUGCGUUGAAGUCGGGUCGUGAGGCCCGGUGGAGCGGUGGGAAGUGAGAAUGCCAGCAUGAGUAGCUAGAAAACGUGUGAAAACCACGUUCACCGCAAGCCCAAGGUUUCCUCCGCAACGUCGAUCGGCGGAGGGUUAGGCGGUCCUAAGACUAAGCCGAAAGGUGAUGCCGAUGGACAGUGGGUCAAUAUUCCCACCCCACCCGCUAUCCGUUUUAACGACGAGGGGGGACACGGAAAGGUAGGCGAAGCGUGCCUAUUGGACAUGGUGCGUCUGACCUGUUAGGCCGUCAGGGUAGGCAAAUCCGCCCUGACAUAAGGCUGAGAGGGGAGGGGAUCUCGCGAAAGCGGGAAACUUUGCUGAGCCUAUACCGGCAAGAAAAUCCUCGCGUCUAGGCAGCGGGUGUCCGUACCGCAAACCGACUCAGGUGGGCUGGGGUAAGCACCCCAAGGUGAUCGAGCGACCCCUCGCUAAGGAACUCGGCAACAUAGCCCCGUAACUUCGGGAUAAGGGGUGCCCCGGAGGGUGGCCUCCCACGCGGAGGUUCGCUUUUCGGGGUCGCAGCGCAGCGGCUCUGGCGACUGUUUACCAAAAACACAGGUCUCUGCAAAGUCGAAAGACGAUGUAUAGGGGCUGACGCCUGCCCAGUGCCGGAAGGUUAAGGGGAAAGGUGAAUCCUGCUUCGGCAGGAGGCAGCUUUGAACUGAAGCCCCGGUGAACGGCGGCCGUAACUAUAACGGUCCUAAGGUACCGAAAUCCCUUGUCGGGUAAGUUCCGACCCGCAGGAAAGGCGUCACGACUGGAGCACUGUCUCAGCGAGGGCCUCGGCGAAAUUGCACGGCCCGUGAAGAUGCGGGUAACCCGCGGCAGGACAAAAAGACCCCGUGGAGCUUUACUGUAUCCUGGCCCUGAUCUGGGGUCCGAAAUGUGUAGGAUAGGUGGGAGGCUUUGAAGCUCCGCCGCCAGGCGGGGUGGAGCCAACCUUGAAAUACCACCCUUUUCGGAUUUUGGAUCUAACCCCUAGAUAGGGGGACCCGGUCAGGUGGGCAGUUUGACUGGGGCGGUUGCCUCCCAAAAUGUAACGGAGGCGCCCAAAGGUUCCCUCAGGGUGGAUGGAAAUCACCCGAAGAGUGUAUGGACAUAAGGGGGCUUGACUGUGCGGCCAACAAGCCAAGCAGGGACGAAAGUCGGGCCAAGUGAUCCUACGGUUCCGAGUGGAAGGGCCGUGGCUUAUCGGACAAAAGCUACCCCGGGGAUAACAGGCUGAUCCCGCCCAAGAGUUCACAUCGACGGCGGGGUUUGGCACCUCGAUGUCGGCUCGUCCCAUCCUGGGGCUGAAGCAGGUCCCAAGGGUCCGGCUGUUCGCCGGUUAAAGGGGUACGCGAGCUGGGUUCAGACCGUCGUGAGACAGGUCGGUCUCUAUCCGCCGCGGGCGUAGGAGAAUUGAGGGGGGCUCUCCCUAGUACGAGAGGACCGGGAGGGACCGACCUCUAGUGUUCCGGUCGUUCCGCCAGGAGCGUAGCCGGGUAGCUAAGUCGGGUUCGGAUAAGCGCUGAAGGCAUCUAAGUGCGAAGCCGGCCCCAAGAUUAAUUCUCCCGCUGGGUUAACCAGGUAAGACCGCAGGGAGACUACCUGCUAUAUAGGCCGCGUGUGGAAGCGCCGCAAGGCGUGGAGCUAAGCGGUCCUAAUCGGUCGAGGGCUUGACCUUU